UACGGGGGAUGCAAGCGUUAUCCGGAUUUAUUGGGCGUAAAGCGCCUGUAGGUUGUUUAAUAAGUCUGUUGUUAAAGACUAGGGCUUAACCCUAGGAAAGCAAUGGAAACUACUAGACUUGAGUAUGAUAGGGGUAGAGGGAAUUUCUAGUGUAGCGGUGAAAUGCGUAGAUAUUAGAAAGAACACCGGUGGCGAAGGCGCUCUACUGGAUCAUUACUGACACUCAGAGGCGAAAGCUAGGGUAGCAAAAGGGAUUAGAUACCCCUGUAGUCCUAGCCGUAAACGAUGGAUACUAGAUGUUGUGUUUAAUAUGCAGUAUCGUAGCUAACGCGUUAAGUAUCCCGCCUGGGGAGUACGCUCGCAAGGGUG
This 369-nucleotide ribosomal RNA is filed under the name uncultured phototrophic eukaryote. RNAcentral describes it as "SSU rRNA". It matches the Rfam family "Bacterial small subunit ribosomal RNA", at positions 524 to 896 of the family's 1533-position model. The record is from RNAcentral.